Larimichthys crocea (large yellow croaker) is the source of this 1804-nucleotide long non-coding RNA. RefSeq lists it as uncharacterized. NCBI's taxonomy places the organism in Eukaryota, Metazoa, Chordata, Actinopteri, Sciaenidae. The record is from RefSeq and is a predicted model, not a curated record. The transcript has 2 exons.
AAUAAAAUGUGGUGAAUAUAUAAAAUAGUUUGAUCACACUGCGCCAUUAUUUUGAAAAAAAUAAAAUAAAAAUAAACAUAGUCCAUGAUUUCAAAUGAUUAAUCUUUUCGUUUUAACUUUAAUGUGCAUUAAACUGUAUGACUAAGCAGGCUGUUUUCCCGUUAUGCAUACAUAAAUAUAUAUAUUUUUUUCAUAUUGAAAGGCGCAGUGAUCCCUGUCUGUUUUCCCUCUCCUUCCUCGGGGAGAGGUGGAGGCUGUUUGGUUGGAGAUGUGGGUCGGAAGUACCGUAGUUUAUGUAUGCUAAUAGGAGAGUUGGGGGUUGUAGCUAGAUAUUUACGUUCAGUGGGAGCCGCCCUUCAUUCACCCACAUGGUUACCAACUGGUCGCCUUCGCGCCACUUUCCUAACCCCGCAAUCAUUUUUUAAGCAGCGUAUCUGGGCUAUAAAUUGACUCGCGAUCGUCUCGGACUUCACUUCAUGUUUCGGUUUUGUCCUCCGAUAGAAAAGUUUCCGGAUUAGUUACGUAUUUAUUUCUCUCUUUUGUCGGCGAGAGACUAACACGGCAAGCCCAAGCAAGUGAGCGAAGAUGGUGGAUUUCGGCUGAUCCACAUCCACCACGAAGUGCAGGAGCCCCCCCUCCUCCCACCACCACCACAAACACAAUGGCAGCAUGGAGCAGUGUGUCCAUCUCUUCCCAUGAUCCUGGAGGACAGUGGCGCUGUAAUCAGUCUGUGUAUUGUCAAAGUGCUUACAGUGCAGGUAGUACUAUGUAAUACCUACUGCAGUGGAGGCACUUACAGCAAUACCCCGACACUGAUGUGCAGAUCCGUUGAUGUUAACGUGUUUUUUUUUUGUUUUUUUUUUUUGAAGUACUGUCUUUGUGCUAAGGUGCAUCUAGUGCAGAUAGUGAAAUAGACUAGCACCUACUGCCCUAAGUGCUCCUUCUGGCAUAAGGGGCUGUGAUAUGCGCCACCAGACCAUUGUUUUUUCUCCCCCUUCCCUCUAAUUUCUAAUUGGGCUCAAAUCUCGCAGUUCUCUGCUAGUUUUGCAUAGUUGCACUACAAGAAUAGAUGAGUUGUGCAAAUCUAUGCAAAACUGAUGGUGGCCUGCUUGCUCUCCACAUGUUUAGAUCUUUUUUUGGUUUUGGGGGUGUCACAUCAAACACAAUCCACCUGUAACACACUUUUCUUUUUAAAAAAACAAACAAGCAGGAGAGUUUUGCCAGUUGGCAUCCAGUGACAGUUUCAGCAGUACUAAAGUGCUUAUAGUGCAGGUAGUGUUUUCUCCUAUCUACUGCAAUGUGAGCACUUGAAGUACUUCUAACUGCGUCCUUCUGAAGCGCUCGCGUGUAAUUGCUGAAGACUCGUCCGUUGAUCAUCACAUGGUCAGUUUUGCUGGUUUGCAUUCAGCUUUAACUUUUGUUCGCUGUGCAAAUCCAUGCAAAACUGACCAGGUUGAUGAAAUGUGUUCUGCCGAGUUGCAUUGCUUUCAUCAAGAUUUUUUUUUUUUUUUUUUUUUUUACCGUGUGGUGGGUAUUUGUACUUGAUGUGUGAUGUUGGUUUAGAUAUCUGGAGAUGUCCCUUCCUGUGCAGGUGGGGAUUAGUAGCAAUGCUGUGUACCUGGAGGUAUUGCACUUGUCCCGGCCUGUGUAGGAACGAGGAGAUGGAGGCGACCUGUAUCCUGACCCCGAGUAUUAAAUAAAAAAACUGCUGCACUCAUCUACAUGUCCUGUGUGCUCUGUAUGAAAUGUUGUUACUGAUGUGGUUAUUGUAUGUUGUUGAAAUAUAUUAAAGUUUUACACAUUC